This 148-nucleotide non-coding RNA is filed under the name Nomascus leucogenys (northern white-cheeked gibbon). The record is from Rfam by way of RNAcentral. Lineage: Eukaryota; Metazoa; Chordata; Mammalia; Primates; Hylobatidae.
GCUGGGCAUGGUGGUGCGUGCCUGUAGUCCCAGCUACUUGGGAGGCUGAGGCAGAAGAAUUGCUUGAACCCAGGAGGUGGAGGUUGCAGUGAGCUGAGAUCAUGCCACCGCACUCCAGCCUGGGCAACAGAGCAAGACUCCGUCUCAA